UACGUAGGGGGCAAGCGUUGUCCGGAAUCAUUGGGCGUAAAGAGCGCGUAGGCGGUCCGGUAAGUCCGCUGUGAAAGUCAAGGGCUCAACCCUUGAAUGCCGGUGGAUACUGUCGGGCUAGAGUCCGGAAGAGGCGAGUGGAAUUCCUGGUGUAGCGGUGAAAUGCGCAGAUAUCGGGAAGAACACCCGUGGCGAAGGCGGCUCUCUGGAACGGUACUGACGCUGAGAUGCGAAAGCGUGGGGAGCGAACAGG
This 253-nucleotide ribosomal RNA is filed under the name uncultured bacterium. RNAcentral's name for it is "partial 16S ribosomal RNA". It matches the Rfam family "Bacterial small subunit ribosomal RNA", at positions 524 to 776 of the family's 1533-position model. The record is from RNAcentral.